This 328-nucleotide ribosomal RNA is filed under the name uncultured eukaryote. RNAcentral's name for it is "partial 18S ribosomal RNA". It matches the Rfam family "Eukaryotic small subunit ribosomal RNA", at positions 1470 to 1796 of the family's 1831-position model. The record is from RNAcentral.
CCCUUAGAUGUUCUGGGCUGCACGCGCGCUACACUGAUGCGUUCAACGAGUCUGCCUUGGCCGAGAGGUCUGGGUAAUCUUGUGAACGCGCAUCGUGCUGGGGAUAGAUUAUUGUAAUUUUUAAUCUUGAACGAGGAAUUUCUAGUAAACGCGAGUCAACAACUCGCAUUGAUUACGUCCCUGUCCUUUGUACACACCGCCCGUCGCUACUACCGAUUGAAUUAUUUGGUGAGGCCCACGGACUGUUGCUUGACCUUCCUCGUGUUGGCUCGGGCAUCUUGGGAAGUGGUACGAACCUGAUAAUUUAGAGGAAGUAAAAGUCGUAACA